GCAUAUCAAUAAGCGGAGGAAAAGAAACCAACAGGGAUUGCCUCAGUAACGGCGAAGUGAAGCGGCAACAGCUCAAAUUUGAAAUCUGGCGGCCUCUGGGCCGUCCGAGUUGUAAUUUGAAGAGGAUGCUUUUGGCGAGGUGCCUUCCGAGUGCCCUGGAACGGGACGCCACAGAGGGUGAGAGCCCCGUAUGGUUGGACGCCGAGCCUCUGUAAAGCUCCUUCGACGAGUCGAGUAGUUUGGGAAUGCUGCUCAAAAUGGGAGGUAAACCCCUUCUAAAGCUAAAUACUGGCCAGAGACCGAUAGCGCACAAGUAGAGUGAUCGAAAGAUGAAAAGCACUUUGAAAAGAGAGUUAAACAGCACGUGAAAUUGUUGAAAGGGAAGCGCUUGCGACCAGACUUGUGCUCGUCGAAUCAGCCGCCGCUCGUCGGCGGCGCACUUCGGCGGGCUCAGGCCAGCAUCAGUUCGCUGCAGGGGGAGAAAGGCGAUGGGAAUGUGGCUCUUCGGAGUGUUAUAGCCCGCCGCGCAAUACCCCUCGGCGGACUGAGGACCGCGCAUCUGCAAGGAUGCUGGCGUAAUGGUCGUCAGCGACCCGUCUUGAAACACGGACCAAGGAGUCGUCCUAAUAUGCGAGUGUUCGGGUGUAAAACCCCUGCGCGUAAUGAAAGUGAACGGAGGUGAGAGCUUCGGCGCAUCAUCGACCGAUCCUGAUGUUCUCGGAUGGAUUUGAGUAAGAGCAUAUUGGGCCGGACCCGAAAGAAGGUGAACUAUGCCUGUAUAGGGUAAAGCCAGAGGAAACUCUGGUGGAGGCUCGCAGCGGUUCUGACGUGCAAAUCGAUCGUCAAAUAUGGGCAUGGGGGCGAAAGACUAAUCGAACCUUCUAGUAGCUGGUUUCCGC
Molecule: ribosomal RNA, 899 nt
Filed under: Pseudallescheria angusta
Lineage: Eukaryota; Fungi; Ascomycota; Sordariomycetes; Microascales; Microascaceae
Description: LSU rRNA
Rfam family: Eukaryotic large subunit ribosomal RNA
Source: RNAcentral